RNAcentral lists this ribosomal RNA (432 nucleotides) under uncultured bacterium. Its description in RNAcentral is "partial 16S ribosomal RNA". It matches the Rfam family "Bacterial small subunit ribosomal RNA", at positions 29 to 507 of the family's 1533-position model. The record is from RNAcentral.
ACGAACGCUGGCGGCAUGCCUAACACAUGCAAGUCGCACGAGACCUUCGGGUCUAGUGGCGCACGGGUGCGUAACGCGUGGGAACCUGCCCUUAGGUUCGGAAUAACUCCCCGAAAGGGGUGCUAAUACCGGAUAAUGUCUUCGGACCAAAGAUUUAUCGCCUUUGGAUGGGCCCGCGUUGGAUUAGCUAGUUGGUAGGGUAAAAGCCUACCAAGGCGACGAUCCAUAGCUGGUCUGAGAGGAUGAUCAGCCACACUGGGACUGAGACACGGCCCAGACUCCUACGGGAGGCAGCAGUGGGGAAUAUUGGACAAUGGGCGAAGGCCUGAUCCAGCAAUGCCGCGUGAGUGAUGAAGGCCUUAGGGUUGUAAAGCUCUUUUACCCGGGAUGAUAAUGACAGUACCGGGAGAAUAAGCUCCGGCUAACUCCGUG